This 110-nucleotide microRNA precursor is filed under the name Prunus dulcis (almond). RNAcentral's name for it is "sRNA ncRNA". The record is from RNAcentral. Lineage: Eukaryota; Viridiplantae; Streptophyta; Magnoliopsida; Rosales; Rosaceae.
GUGGGUUUUAUACGAAAUUUCAAUUUGGUCACUGAGAAAAUAAAGUGAUCAAUUUAGCUAAAUUAUUUCAUCAGUGACCAAAUUGAAAUUUCUUGUAAAGAGCCUUCAUU